Molecule: long non-coding RNA, 12374 nt
Filed under: Nicotiana tabacum (common tobacco)
Lineage: Eukaryota; Viridiplantae; Streptophyta; Magnoliopsida; Solanales; Solanaceae
Description: long non-coding RNA (NTAB_LNC006465)
Source: RNAcentral
CAGCAUUUUCUAAAUUUGAAUUUAAAACAUGUGAUAACUAGCAACGUAAAAUGAUAAUUAUACAACCCAAAAGAAUAGUCUACCAAUGUGUGUGCCAAGACCUGUUGUCACAAGUAUAUGGGCAUCUAGUAGAAUAUACAAAAGAAUACAUCUACCCUACUGUUUGAAAUGGAAUAGACCGUAAAAAACAAAAGAGAGACUCUAUCAUGUUGCUGAAUGGCAUAGGAAGGGAGCAGCUCACCGUGGAAUCUCGGCCAACUAUCAAGAAUGCGCACCAGACGGGUAGCCAGAUGCACCUGCCUCAGAACCUGUUCAAUUAAGUACAUAAGCAUAGUAUGAGUACAUAAAUAAUAUGUACCCAGUAAGUAUCUAGUCUAACCUCGAAGAAGUAGUGACGAGGGGUCGACUUGACACUUACUAGGGUCAAUAAUAUGAUAAUAUGAGGUUCAAUAUUUCAGUUCAUAAUGUACAUAGAUAGAAACAAGUUCAAAUAAGAAAUAAUAUUGAAAACCUUCUCAUCAAUUAAUAAGUCUAGGCAUUUCCUUCUUUUAAAACGUGUAGUCUUUCAAACAAUAAAUCAUACGGAUUAUAAGAGGUCCCGGUUCCAUUAUCACACAAUUUCCGCCGAGGACGUUCGACCUGAUCCAACAUAAAAGUAAAUUGUGUACUACCGAGGGUCGAACGGCCCGAACCAUAUAAUAUACAAUUACCAAUCUGUCGAGGCGAACGGCCCGCUCCCACUCCCAUGAGAGUAGUGGAAACAAUCACCCCGCUCGCGGAAUAUAUUUGUGACGCGGUUAAGUAUAAAUACAACUUAAAUGCUUCUUUAAUUCUUUUCAAAUUAAUUAUUUACUUGGAACCCUGAAAUCAUAACCUUUUAAUCGAGGUUCAAUUAAUGAACUCUACAAUUUAUAAUCGUAUAACAAUACCCAUAAAUCAUGGUGUAAGCCUAGAACUACCUGGACAUAAUAGGAAUAGUAGCCUCGUACGGACUCUCGACACUUCGUGCGUACGUGGCCCCCCACAAUAAAAUCACGUAUUCAUUAAGUUCACCUAUGGGGAUAUUUCCCUCUAACAAGGUUAGAAAAGAGACUUAACUCGCUUCACGGCUUACUUUCCGGUCCAAACUUAAGCCCAAACCCUUAUUUUGGUGCCAAACAAUCCAAAACUAUCCAAAUAGCAUAGAAACUAAUCAAUAUAGGCUUAAAAGUUCAUAUCCCAACCAUUAGGGUGAUUCCCCAAUCCAAAUUGCAAGAUUCCUAAAAUUCGAACUCGGGCCCACGUGCCCGGAUUCCGAAAUAUUUUGAAGAAAGCUGUUACCCAUAGCCUAAGGAUCAAGAAUAUAUGAUUGCUCCAUUCCAUAAUAAAUUUCGUGGUUAAAUCUUAUUUUUAUCAAAACCUUAGGUUUUUACUCAAAUCUCAUGAUUUUCACUAAUUUUUGUGUGUUAAUCUACCCAAAACCCAAGUAUUAAACUCACACUAAGUAGAAAUAACUUACCUCACAAUGCUAGGUUGAAAUCCCCUCUUUGAAAGCUCCCAAAUCGCCCAAGUGUAGAAGUGAAAUGAAAUAAAUGGCCUAAGUCCCGUUUUUAAAAGAUGUGUCCAGGCCUUAUGAUGUCACAUUUGCGACAUCCGGCUCGCAAAUGCGAAGUCGCAAUUGCGACAAAACAUUCGCAAAUGCGAAAUGGCCCUUCCUCUGCCUUGAUCGCAAAUGCGAUAGAGGGGUUGCAAAUGCGGACCCUACUGGGUUUGCAAACGCGAAGAGAAUGUCGCAAAUGCGACCACUGCUCCCAGCUAGGCUCCAUCGCCAAUGUGAUGCUUUCCUCGCAAAUGCGAGUUCGCAAAUGCGAACAUUUCCUCGCAUUUGCGAGACCUUCAACCUUGCCUAGAAAUACAAGAAAACUGGGGUGUUUUUCAUCCCCAACCCACGUCUGAAACUCACCUGAGCCCUCGGGGCUCCACUCCGACUACUCACACAAGUCCAACAACAUUGUACAAACUUUCUUGAGCGAUCAAAUCACUGAGAUAACAUCUAAAACCAUGGAUUUAACACCAAAAUGCAUGAAAUCCUUAAGAACUUUUAAAAUUCUGAUUUUUACAACCGGACAUCCGAAUCAUGUCAAAUCAGUCUCGUUUCUCACCAAAUUUCACAGACAAGACUUAAAUGUUAUAUUGGACCUGUAUCGGGCUCCGAAACCAACAUAUGGGCUUAAUACCAACAUGAUCAAACAUUAUUCAAUUUCUUUAAAUCCUUAGAAUUUCAGUUUAACAAUUUUUAACAAAAAGUUCAUUACUCGGGCUAGGGACAUUGGAAUUCAAUUACGGGCAUACGCCCAGGUCCCAUAUUUUACUACGGACCCUCCAGGACCGUCAAAAUAUAAGUCCGGGUCCGUUUACUAAAAAUGUUGACCAAAGUCAAACUUAGUCUUUUAAGCAAAUCUUAAGGAAUCAAGUGUUCCGAUUUCAAUCCAAACUCUUCCAAAUCCCAAACCAACCAUCCCCGCAAGUCGUAAAUCAGUUAAAGCAAGUACGGGAAGUCUUAUUUAGGGGAACAGGGUUCUACAAAGCAAAACAACCAGUAGGGUCGUUACAUUCUCCACCUCUUAAACAAACUUUCGUCCUCGAACGGACAUAGAAAAUUACCUGAGCUAGGGAAAAGAUGGGGGAUAUUGCUCCGCAUGUCCUCCUCGGACUCCCCAGGGUCGCCUCCUCAACCUGGGUUGGGCCCCNNNNNNNNNNNNNNNNNNNNNNNNNAAAACAACCAGCAGGGUCGUUACAUUCUCCACCUCUUAAACAAACUUUCGUCCUCGAACGGACAUAGAAAAUUACCUGAGCUAGGGAAAAGAUGGGGAUAUUGCUCCGCAUGUCCUCCUCGGACUCCCAGGUCGCCUCCUCAACUGGUUGGCCCCUCCACUAGACCUUUAUCGUGGAAAUCCUCUUGGAUAUCAACUGGUGAUCCUGCCUAUCAAUAAUAGCAAUUGGCUCCUCCUCAUAACCCAGACUCUCAUCCAGCUGAACAGUACUAAAGUCUAAACAUGAGACAAGUCGGCGUGAUACCUACGAAGCAUAGACACAUGAAAAACUAGGUGAACUCCCGAUAAGCUGGUAAGUAAGGCAAGCUCAUAAGCAACCUCCCCAACUCGCCUGAACACCUCAAAUGGGCCAAUAAACUCUGGGCUCAACUUGCCCUUCUUCCCGAAUCUCAUGAUACCUGUCAUCAGCGAGACUUUCAAGAGGAUCUUCUCGCCGACCAUGAAUGAUACAUCACGCGCCUUCUGAUCCGUGUAACUCUUUUGUCUGGACUGAUCUAUGUGAAGUGUUUCCUGAAUCAACUUUCCUUCUCUAAGGCAUCUCUUACCAAAUCUGUACCAUACAACUUAGCCUCUCCGGGAUCAAACCACCCGAUAGGAGAACGGCAUCGCCGACCGUAUAAAGCCUCAAAUAGGGCUAUCUCGAUGCUGGAUUGGUAACUAUUGUUGUAAGCAAACUUGGCCAAAGGCAAGAACUAAUCCCAUUGUCCUCCAAAGUCAAUCACACAUGCUCUAAGCAUGUCCUUCAAAAUCUGAACUGUUCGCUCCAACUGUCCGUCGAUCUGAGGAUGAAAUAUUGUGUUGAGCUCCACAUGGGCCCCCAACUCACUCUGAACGGCUCUCCAAAAAUGGGAAGUGAACUGAGGGCCUCUAUCAGAUAUGAUGGAAACAGGCACCCCGUGCAACCAGACUAUCUCUCGAAUGUAAAUAUGAGCCAACCUCUCUGGAGUUUAAGUAGUCACAACCGAAAUAAAGUGUGCCGACUUGGUCAACCUAUCAACAAUGACCCACACUGCAUCAAACUUUCGCAAGGUCUGGGGCAACCCAACUAUGAAAUUCAUAAUGCGCUCCCAUUUCAACUCAGGUAUAGGCAUCUGCUAAAGUAGGCCACCUGGCCUCUAGUGUUCAUACUUAACCUGCUGGCAAUUCAAACACCUAGCCACAUACUCCACUAUGUCUUUCUUCAUCCGUCGCCACCAAUAAUGUUGCCUCAAGUUACGAUACAUCUUUGUAGCACACGGAUGAAUGGAAUAUCGUGAACUGUGUGCCUCCUCUAGGAUCCUCUCCCUCAGGCCAUCAACAUUAGGAACACAUAGGCGACCCUGGAGUCACAAAACACCAUCCUUGCCAAUAGAAACCUCUUUGGCACUACCCUAUAGACUGUCUCUCUAAAAACUGCCAAAUGUGGAUCAUCGAACUGUCGGGCCUUGAUCUACCCCAAUAAUAAAGACUGAGCAACCACACACGUAAGGACUCGGUUGGGCUCUAAAAUAUCCAACCUCACAAGUCUGUUAGCCAAGGACUGAAUGUCCAAAGCUAGUGGCCUCUCCUCUGCUAGAAUGAAUGCCAAGCUAUCCAUACUCUCUACUUUCCUGCUUAAGGCAUCCGCGGCCAUAUUUGCCUUGCCAGGAUGAUAAAGAAUGGUGAUAUCAUAAUUCUUCAGUAACUCAAGCCAUCUACGCUACCUCAAAUUGAGAUCUCUCUGCUUGAACAAAUGUUGUAAGAUAUGAUGAUCAGUAUACACCUCACAUGACACCCCAUACAGAUAAUGCCUCCAUAUCUUAAGAGCAUGAACAAUCGCGGCCAACUCUAAAUCGUGCACAGGAUAAUUCUUCUCAUGAAUCUUCAGCUGACGCGAAACAUAUGCAAUAACUUGCCCCUCCUGCAUCAAUACACAACCCAAGCCAAUGCGUGAAGUGUCACAAUACAUAGUAUGCAUCCCCAAACCGGAAGGUAACACUAGGACUGGUGUUGCAGUCAAAGCUGUCUUAAGCUUCUGAAAGCUCGCCUCACAAUCAUCGGAUCAACGAAAAGGAGCAGCCUUCUGGGUCAAUCUAGUUAGAGGUGAUGCAAUAGAUGAAAAUCCCUGCACGAAUCGACGGUAAUAGCUUGCUAAUCCCAGGAAACUCCUGAUAUCGGUCACUGAAGUAGGACGUGGACAGCUCUGAACUGCCUCAAUAUUCUUGGGAUCCACCUUAAUACCCUUUCCUGACAAAAUAUGCCCCAAGAAUGCCAUUGACUCUAGACAAAACUCACAUUUGGAGAACUUAGCAUAUAGCUUCUGCUCUCGCAAGUUCUGAAGCACUACUCUCAAAUGUUGCUCGUGCUUGUGAUGACCCAAAAGGUCAUCACUCAUUUUUAAAAGGCAUUCUACAUUCUGAGGCUUUAAAAACCUCUUUUAGCAUCACCUCGAUUUGUGUGCGUAGUCCGGGCGCAUAGCCGAAAAGAUUAUAUGUGAAAAUCUAUGAAAAAUGAUAAAUUUUGAUUAUAAAAGUAAUUAAUUUGACUUCGGUCAAUGUUUUGGAUAAACGGAUCUGGACCCGUGAUUUGACAGUCCUGGAGGGUCCGUAUGAAAAUAUGGGACGUGGGCGUAUGCCCGGAAUCAAAUUCCGAGGUCCCAAGCCCGAGAAAUAAAUUUUUAAAGAAAAUUAUUUUCUGAAACUGUUUAAAGGAUUUGGAAAUGAAUUUUGAUUAGAACAUGUUGGUAUCGGGCCUGUAUUUUGGUUCCGGCGCCCGGUACAGGUCUUAUACGUGAUUUAAGAUAAUUCUGUGAAGUUUGGUAAGAAACGGAAUCCGUUUGACGUGAUUCGGACCUUAAAUUCAAAAUUUGAUGCUUUAAGAAGUUUUGAAAUAAUCCAUUGAUUUUGAGGUUUAAUUCGAUGUUAAUGAUGUUAUUUUGGUGAUUUGAUCGCACGGAUAAGUCCAUAUGAUAUUUUUGAGUUAGUACGUAUGUUUAGUUUGGAGCCCCGAGGGCUCGGGUGAGUUUCGGAUGUGUUUUGGAAGGUUUUUGGAACUCAAAAAAUUGCAAGUUUUUCAGUUCUGGUGUGCUGAUAUUUUCUUCUUCGCGUUCGCGGGAGGACCCCCGCGAACGCGAUGAGCUAUUCAUGCUGAAGGAAAAUUCCUUCUACACGAACGCGAGAACCAGGUCGCGAACACGAAGCAUUGGGGGGUCUUCCUUUCGCGAACGCGGGCCUGGUAUUGCGAACACAAAGGCUUAUAACCUGGGCAGGGGGAGGGGUACUAUACCCUACGCGAACGCGACCACCUGGACGCGAACGUGAAGGCUCUAGGAGCUGAAGCUCCGCGAACGCGAGUCGUUUAACGAGAACGCGAAUGUCACUUAAGCUAGCUUCAUCGCGAACACGAAAGGCCUAUCGCAAACGCGAUGAAGUCCUGUCCAGUGAUUUUAAAACAGAACCAAAAAAACGGGAUUUAGCCAAAAUUUCAUAACUUCUUCUCUUCAACUCCAAAUUGGGCAAUUUUUGAAAGGGGAUUUCACCACCAAUUCAUAGGUAUGUAAUCUUAGACUCAUUUUCUUCAAUUUCCAUUAACACCCAUUAGAUUUCUAAGCCUAAAUCAUGUGAUUAAGGGUAGAAAAUUAGAGAUUUGGGUAGAGUUGGGCUUUUUGAUUAUUUGGGAAUUUGACCUCGUUUUGGGGUCGUAUUUCAAAAUAAAUUAUAUAUUCGGGCUCGUGUGUGAAUGGGUGAUCGGAUUUUGGUCUGAACCUCAUGUUUUGACCAGCGGGCCCGGGGUCGAUUUUUGACUUUUUGGGAAGAAUGAUGGGACAGCUAUAAUUAAGCAUUGAAGUUGGAUUGUUUAGUGUUUAUUGAUGUUAUUAAGUCGAUUAUGUCUAGAUACAAUUGAUUUGGAGCUGAAUUCGAAAGGAAAAGUGGUGUUUGAGGCUUGAGUUGGACGUGGAAGUUCGAGGUAAGUGUUUGGUCUAACCUUAGCUUGAGGGAUUAGGAGUUGUGUCCUAUUUGCUAUUUGCUUCUUGUUGAGUACGACGUAUAGGCAUGGUGACGAGUAUCUAUACGUUAGUGUCGAGCAUGACCGUGAGUCUUAAAUUGCAAUUUAUUUUGUGUUCUCAAAUAGUACUAAAGAUGCUUUAAUUGAUGAUUCUCGAUAUUGAGCAAGGAUUAAGUUUGUUUUUGUGGAAAUUACUUAUGAUUGGGUAUUGGUGUUAGCUGAGAUGAGUAGAAGUUGGGUUAAGAUUGGUUAUAGUUGUUUCUUCCUUGCCAGGACAUAUUUACUUUUACUGUCGAAUCCCUUACCGGGAUAGUGUAGUUUAUUGUUGAUCCCUUGUUGGGAAUCUUGGUAUGGUUGUUGUUAAAGGUAUAUAAAUAUAUGGAUCAGUUUGCAUGCCGCAAUAAUACUAUAGCUAAAUCGGGUUGCACGCCGCAACAAUUUUAUAUUGGGUCGGGUUGCACGCCGCAACAAUGUUAUAUUGGAUCGGGUUGCACACCGCAACAAUGUUAUAUUGGAUUGGGUUGCACGCCACAAUGUUAUAUUGGAUCGGGUUGCACGCCGCAAUAAUGUUAUAUUGGAUCAGGUUUCACGCCACAACAGUGUUAAAUGAUAGGAAUCGGGUUGCGCGCCGCAACAGUGUUAUUAUGGUUUUUGUUGUAAAUCUUGAAUUGUUCUCUCAUAUUUCUCUUAAGUUUCUACUAGAUUAAAUAUUUCCCCCGUAGCAUGUACCCCNNNNNNNNNNNNNNNNNNNNNNNNACUUACCAGCACAUGGGGUUGGUUGUGCUGAUGCUACACUCUACACUAUGUGCAGAUUCUGGUGCAGCUUUUGGACAGUAGCACUUGGGGAGCCUACCUUCAGUCCAACCAGAGAUCCCGAGGUAGUCCUCAGGCGUCUGCAGGCCCGGUGUUCUCUUCUACCUUGUUAUGUACUCUGUUUUCAUUAGAUUUCGAGAUAGAUUGUAUUUGUUUCAGACAUUUGUAUGUAGUACUCAUAGACCGUCCGUGAAUAUUGUGACACCAGAUUUUGGGUAGGGGAGUAUAUGGGCAUUGUAGUACUAGCUUGGUUAUUUUUAGCUAUUUAAGUCUAUCGCUUGUUCUAUUUAUCGUCAAUAUUUAAAUGUUAAUUACCUAUUAAUUCAAAAUCAUAAAAAGGAUUAAAAUGAAAGAGUUAGAAUUUCUAUAUGUCGCAGCUUGCCUAGCUUCUACGAGUAUGCGCCAUCACGACUCCCAAGAGUGGAAAAUCCGGGUCGUGACAAGUUGUAUCAGAGCUCUAGGUUACAUAGGUCUCACAAUUCAUGGGCAAGCUUAGUAGACUCUGAGGGAUAGGUACGAAGACAUCUGUAUUUAUCUCCUAGAGGCUACAGAGUUAGGAAAAACCUCAUAUUUAUUCUUUCCUGUCGUGCGAUUUGGUUUCUCAAAGCUAAUUGAAUUUUUACUCUGUUCUUUCGCAGAUGGAGAGAACAUGCGCUUCCUCAUCCACUGACCAGCAGCCCGAGCCCCCAGCAGCAUCUCCCACGAGGGGUAGAGGGCGAGGACGAGGUCGUGCUAGAGGCUGAGGUUGGGGCAGAGCUCAGCAUAGGGCAUCAGUACCCGCAGUGGAGCCUCAGGUUGACUUUGAUGAUGAGGUUCCGGCCCUAGUAGUUCUGGUAGGCUCAGCUCAGGUCCUAGAGGGGUUUAUUGCUACCCUAGUACUUCAGGAUGCUCUAGUCCGUCUAGUGGGCCUUAUGGAGAGUGUCACACGGGCAGGCUUGCUUCCUAUAUCACCAGCCAUCUCUCAGGUUGGAGGAGGAGCCCAGACUCCUACUACUCAUACCCUGGAGCAGGUAGUUCCCCAGUUCCAAAUCCAGCGGUUCAGCCGGGUGUGGUAGCUCAGACCGGUGAUAGAGCAGUUAUGUCUACCGAUGCCUUGUGGAGGUUGGAUAGGUUUACCAAACUCUUUACUACUACUUUUAGCGGUGUAUCUACCAAGGAUCCCCAGGAUUAUCUAGAUAGCUGUUAUGAGGUUCUCAGGAACAUGGGGAUAGUUGAGACCAAUGGGGUCAAUUUUGCCACUUUUCUCUUAUCUGGAUCUUCCAAGAUUUGGUGAAGGGAUUUCUAUUUGGCUAGACCAACCGGAUCGCCAGCUUUUAUUUGGGAGUAGUUUACUCAGCUAUUUAUGGAGAAGUUUCUCCCCAUCACUCAGAGAGAGUCCUAUCGGAGGCAGUUUGAGCGUAUCCAACAGGGUUCCAUGACUGUUACCCAGUAUGAGACCAGAUUCAUCGACCUAUCUCGUCAUGCUCUUGUCAUACUUCCCACCGAGAGAGAGAGGGUAAUGAGGUUCAUUGAUGGACUUAUUCAGCCGAUUCGUCUUCAAAUGGCUAGGGAGACUAGGUGUGAGAUAACUUUCCAGGAGGCAGCCAAUAUGUCCAGGAGAGUGGAGAUGGUUCUGUCGCAGGGAGGUAGUCAUGGGUCGGACAAGAGGCCCCGUCAUUCAGGUAGAUUCAGUGGUGCCUCAUCUGGAGGCAGGGAUUCGUAUGGUAGAGGCCAUCCUCCUAGGCCCUUUCAGUCAGCACUUCAGGUUUCUCAUGGUGCUUCAGGUGGCCGUGGUUCUCACAUGUAGUAUUCGGAUCAGCAUCCCUACAGUGUGCACUACCAACUCCUAUUAGUGCAUCGCUGCUCCAGAGUUUUUAGGGUGGUCAUUCAGGUCGCCAGGGUCAGUCUCAGUUUCCUCAGCCACAGCACUCAGGUGGAUGCUUUGAGUGUGGUGAGUAUGGUCAUAUCCGGAGGGCUUGUCCAAGAUUGGUGGGUACUCAAUCGUAGCAGCAGGGUUCCCAUGCUAUGGUUCAGGAACCAGGUGUUCCACAUCCCACCCAGCCAGCUAGAGGUGGGGGUAGAGGUGCUAAAGGUGGAGGUAGAGGUGCUAGAGGUGGAGGCUAGCUAGCUGCAGGCCAUCCCAGAGAUGUAGUCCAGGGUGGUGGGCCCAGCCUCGAUGUUAUGCUCUUCCAGCCAGGCCCGAGGCUAAGGCUUCAGAUGUAGUUAUUACAGGUACAGUUCUGGUUUGUGAUAGAGAUGCUUCAGUGUUAUUCAAUCCAGGGUCUACGUACUCGUAUGUGUCAUCUUAUUUUACACUGUAUCUGGUCAUGCCUAGUAAUUCUUUGAGUACCCAUGUUUAUGUGUCUACACCGGUGGGUGAUUCUAUUGUGGUAGAUUGACUCCAUCGUUCAUGUAUAGUUGUGAUUGGGGGUCUUGAGACUCGCGUAGAUUUGCUUCUUUUGGACAUGGUUGAUUUCGAUGUCAUAUUGGGGAUGGACUGGUUAUCACCUUACCACGCUAUCUUGGACUGUCAUGCCAAGAAUGUGACCUUAGCCUUACGGGUUUACCUUGUUUAGAUUGGAGAGGAACUCCUAGUCAUUCUACCCGUAGUGUUAUCUCUUAUGUGAAGGCUCGGCGUAUAGUCGAGAAGGGGUGUUUAGCCUAUUUGGCAUAUGUUCGUGAUUCUAGUGCUGAGGUUUCUUCUAUUGAUUUUGUGCCCGUUGUUCAUAAGUUUCCAGAGGUUUUCCCUUCAAACCUUCCGGGUAUGCCACCCGACAAGGAUAUUGACUUUUGCAUUGAUUUGGCUCCGGGCACUCAGCCCAUUUCUAUCCUGCUAUAUCAUAUGGCCCCGCCUGAGUUGAAAAGGUUGAAGGAGCAGUUGCAAGACUUGCUUGAGAAGGGUUUCAUUAGGCCGAGUGUCUCGCCUUGGGGUACGCCGAUGUUGUUUGUUAAGAAGAAGGAUGGGUCAAUGAGAAUGUGUAUUGAUUACCGGCAGUUGAACAAGGUUACAAUCAAGAAUAAGUAUCUAUUACCGAGGAUUGAUGAUUUGUUUGAUCAGCUUCAGGGUGCCAAGGUAUUUUCGAAGAUUGACUUGAGAUCUGGCUACCAUCAGUUGAGGAUCAGGGCAUCUGAUGUCCCUAAGACAGCUUUUCGCACUCGGUACGGGCACUAUAAGCUCUUGGUGAUGUCAUUCGGGUUGACAAAUGCCCGAGCAGCUUUAAUGGAUCUGAUGAACCAAUUGUUCAGGCCUUACUUGGAUUCGUUCGUGAUAGUCUUCAUUGAUGAUAUUUUGAUUUAUUCCCGCAGCCGGGAGGAGCACGAGAAGAAUCUUAGAGUGGUUCUUCAGACCUUGAGGGAUAGUCGGUUAUAUGCUAAGUUCUCGAAGUGUGAGUUAUGUCACACCUCCAUUUUCCUACACCCCCGGAAGGGAGUAUAUAAGGGAGUUUUUCCAACUUAAAGUGACAAUCGAAAUAGAAUUAUUUAUUUAUUAAAUUCAGAGUCGCCACUUGGGAUAAUUUUAUAGUAUCCCAAGUCAUUGGUUCAAAUCCCAAAUCGAGGAAAAGAUUGACUCUAUUUUACAGUCCGCGAACACAGAAAUCCGGGUAAGAAAUUAUGUUAACUCGGGAGAAGGUGUUAGGCAUUCCCGAAUUCCGUGAUUCUAGCACGGUCGCUCAACUGUUAUAAUUGGCCUAUUAUCUGAUUCUAAUACAUGUUUUAGCCUAUGGUACAACUUUAACUUUAUAACCGCUUUUAUUUAAUAUUUUUUUAGGAAGAUUUCAACGUUAUUUUAAAAUACGUCUUGAGCCACGUCACAUAAAUGUACCCGCGGUCCCCGACAUAUUUUAUCUAACAUUGUUGAGAUUUGGAUUUGGGUCACAUAAAUGCACACCCGAGUUUAGGAAGGUAAUUUUUAAAAUAGCGCGCCUAAAGUAAGCUACGAUGCCCAUUAAUUAUUUUCCUAAAGCUAAUUUGAAAUUGUUGAGAAGGCUAUUAAUUAUGGAUAAGCAUUGUAGGCAAGCGUGUUUCAGCUACUUGGUAUACUCAAGCAAUAUUUGCACGGCACAAUGAAAGAAAAAAGGUUGCUGAAUUUGUUCAAACUUGGUAUCAUUCUAAGCCCAAAUCACCGUAACUUUUUCUUUUCUUUUCUUUUUAUUUGUUUGAUCUUAAGGAAAUCCACGCCUAAUUGCUUUCCAUUACCAUAAUUGACAUCUUCAUACUUAUUCAAUUAAAACAUAGUUAAGCUAGUUGUAAAUGAAUAAACAAAUUAAAAUAGAAUACUAAAUAAUUACAGAACACCAUCAAAAGAAAACUAAACAACUUAUGCAUAAGGAUCACUUCAUUCAUUCAUGCUUCAAUAGUGUAACAGAACGAGGAAAAGAAUUAGAACCUGGAAUAACAAAGCUCAUUUGAUAUAAAAUAAACCAGUGAGCAAAACUCAGAAAUUGGUAUCAUACAACAAUCUUUCAAGUAUUCAAGAACCAAAAAGCCUAUUGUCAACCAAAAUCGUGACGAAACCUCGAUCUCAAACUUACCGGAGCUCGACGAACCUUGUAUAUACUCAACUGGGUUUGGACAUUUUAAUGGCUGAGAUUUGACUAUUUUCGAAUUGUAUUCAGCUCAGUUUUUAAGUUCUUUCUUCUUCUUUUUUUGAGGUUUUUGAGUGUUUUCUAUGGAAGUUGUGGCUGCAAUUUUGGUUAAGGAAGGAAAACUCCCCCGAUUGUGUGAUGGGUGUGUGCUUCUUUUUAAAUGAAAAUUCUAAGAAGCUCGAGUCAGAGGGUGGGGAGGGAGUUUAUGAUAGGAAACGGC